CCUGCCUGGAAGAAUUGUGAUCCUUUUGAUAUGUGAAUAUAACCUAAUGGGUAGCAGUCUUGUUAAGGAGAUGAGGCAGUACCUGGUACAGACACCCUAUAGUGUCUGGGCCACUUCACCCCACUGUGUCCUCAAGGUAGAGUUGGCUCCUCGGCUCAGCAAAAGCUCUAUGGUGCUGCUGUGGCCACACUCCACAGCAAGGUGCAGAGGUGUCUUGUGGAGCCAGCCAGCAGCAUUGACCUGUGCACCCCUGUCCAGGAGAUGACUGACAAUUUCUACAUGGCCUCCCCGAGCAGCAUAGUGCAAGGGUGUGAGGCCCAGGGAGUCUCGAGAAUCUACCUCAAUGCCGUUGGCCACCAGCAGCUGUGUAACAGGAAUGAAUGGGGUGGAAUCUAAGGAAGUACCAAAUUCUCAGAUUAAAUUCAACACUGUGCAAAAGCUGUUGCCCUCUGGUGCCCCGUGGGCCUCACUGAUCUUGAGCUCCAACCAAAUACUUAAAUAAAUACUUGUUGCCAGGCAUGGUGGUGGCCCACACCUUUAAUCCGAGCACCCAGGAGGCUGAGGCUGGAGGAUCUAUGUGAGUUCAAGACCAAGCUGGUCUAAAUAGAGAGCUUCAGGCCAGCCAGGGCGACAUAGUGAACUGUUGUCUCAGAAAAGCUAAACAUUCACCCAAUUCAUUGCUAUGGGCCACCAGAAUAAAGUGGGAUUCCCAGGUAUGGGAGACCUCCUCCGGUACCAUUCAGUAGGGAAGUUUUAUAAAGAGGACCCAACUGAGAACAUGCUCAGCUCCCAACCCCUCCACCCUGCCCGCCUAUGCUUCAGCAUCUUUCUACCUUGUUCCUCUCCUCCCCAGAGCCUAUGGAAGCAAGCGUAGAAGACAAAGCCCUUGGGCUUCUGGUACAGUCAUUGAAGGUGAAGGCUGGACCUACUUGGUAGUGGCCUAAGCCAGCUGCCAGGCCAAGCGCUGUAGCUCCUGUGUUGUCCAGGGCAUCCACCUUUGCCCCCAGUGCCAGGAGAAGCCGCAAGGCUGAUGCACUUCCAGCUACCGCUGACACCAGCAGGGUGCUGUCCAGGUCUAAGCUGCCUCUAACAGUCAGCAGCUCUAGUACUGGCAGUUGCCUGCACGCAGCUGCCCAGUGUGUGGCAGUCCAGCCUCUUCUAUCUUUCACAGCAGGGCCCAAACCUGGUGCGGCCAUAAGGCAUGUAGCCAGUAGUGUACGGCCCAGCGCAGCUGCCCAGUGCAGGGGCGUGAGGCCCAUUUGAGAGCAUGCCACUGCCGAGGCCCCACGCCGCAGCAAUAGUUCUGCCACUUUUGAGUGCCCAUGCCAGGCAGUCACGUGCAGUGGUGUGUGCCCUUUGUUGUCAACUGCACCCACCAGGGACCCUCGCUGUAACAGUAGGCGUACAAGAGGCACGUGGCCUCGCAUCACAGCCAGAUGGAGUGGAGUCCGACCUGUGUGAUCCCUGUGGGGUACGAAAGAAGUCAGGAAGCAGCUUAGACGUUUACUCCCAACCAGAGAAAGAGUCUGGAGCUAGUCAUGAGGCUUACCUCUCCUCCACACUGGCACCUUGCCUCAGCAGCUGCAUCACCAAGCUGGGAGCACCCCACCACACUGCCUGGAACAGGGUACUCCAGACCUGGGAGCUAAGAGGUUCCUCUGUCUUGUCUGCUGGAGCCUCCUCCCAGACCAGCUCCAUCCACUGCAGUUCUUCCUCAGACCUGCUGGAAUCCAUCUGGAGAGAGAGCAUCUACCCUGAAGCCUCUGACUGGUUCACCCUACCUGUCCCAGGUCACUAUAUCACCAACUUCCAGGGAGACUCAGAUUCUAAUUCUAGGCUACCUUCAAUCUGGUAACCCGUCUCAGAAUAAUUUUUCUUGUAGCUUGAGAGGUGGGUGCUACUCCUGGGAGGUUAGAUUGAAAGUAGAGAGUGGGCAAAUCGCUGAUGCUUCCUUCUGGGUCAUGAUGAGGCCACCUGACACUGUUUAUCUAGUAAUUUGAAGGGAGUCUCUGCCUGCCAGGGAGCAGCCCCUGCCUGAGCACCCUUGCCCCCAGCAGGCUACUGAAGCUCUUGGCCACACUCCCAGGAACAAAGGCCAGAACAUGUUGGGAAGGACAAGCAGGAACAUGCCCUGUAUGACAGCACCUCCUUCUUACCUUCCUCCAAGUAACACAAACUUCAAACUUUGAUGUGUUCUGACUUGCCCGCAGGCACCUUGAGACCCACCUGCCUCCAUCUCAACCUGGGAAUGGAAUAAAUAAGGUUCUAUCCUUU
Non-coding RNA from Cricetulus griseus (Chinese hamster), 2274 nucleotides. NCBI's taxonomy places the organism in Eukaryota, Metazoa, Chordata, Mammalia, Rodentia, Cricetidae. The record is from RefSeq and is a predicted model, not a curated record.